GAUGAACGCUGGCGCCGUGCCUAAUACAUGCAAGUCGAGCGAACAGAUGAGGAGCUUGCUCCUCUGACGUUAGCGGCGGACGGGUGAGUAACACGUGGAUAACCUACCUAUAAGACUGGGAUAACUUCGGGAAACCGGAGCUAAUACCGGAUAAUAUAUUGAACCGCAUGGUUCAAUAGUGAAAGACGGUUUUGCUGUCACUUAUAGAUGGAUCCGCGCCGCAUUAGCUAGUUGGUAAGGUAACGGCUUACCAAGGCAACGAUGCGUAGCCGACCUGAGAGGGUGAUCGGCCACACUGGAACUGAGACACGGUCCAGACUCCUACGGGAGGCAGCAGUAGGGAAUCUUCCGCAAUGGGCGAAAGCCUGACGGAGCAACGCCGCGUGAGUGAUGAAGGUCUUCGGAUCGUAAAACUCUGUUAUUAGGGAAGAACAAAUGUGUAAGUAACUAUGCACGUCUUGACGGUACCUAAUCAGAAAGCCACGGCUAACUACGUG
This 497-nucleotide ribosomal RNA is filed under the name uncultured bacterium. RNAcentral's name for it is "partial 16S ribosomal RNA". It matches the Rfam family "Bacterial small subunit ribosomal RNA", at positions 28 to 507 of the family's 1533-position model. The record is from RNAcentral.